This is a long non-coding RNA of Drosophila rhopaloa, 1513 nucleotides long. RefSeq lists it as uncharacterized. NCBI's taxonomy places the organism in Eukaryota, Metazoa, Arthropoda, Insecta, Diptera, Drosophilidae. The record is from RefSeq and is a predicted model, not a curated record. The transcript has 3 exons.
UACACUGAUAUAUAUCGACUGCUCAGACAAGAAACAAUCGAUAACUGGACAUCGAUAACUCAAUUCAUACAUUCCGCUAACAUAAACAUUUAAUUUAACACAACAAUAACACACUGCUCACAUUUUCACGCUAACACAUUCACACCUCACCUCAUAAUAAUAAACAACACAAUUAAUCGCAUAAACCAUUACACACAACCAUUGUUAACAUAAUCAUCGUUCAUCGCCAUCAUAAUAUCAUCACUAGAAAUGCUCGCACGAUUAUUACUCAACGAAUAAUUUAUUUUCUUGAAAUCUAAUUUCAUACAAAGGCUGUGGCGUUAACCCGUUAUAUACGGGGAGGCCAAAUAAAUCUUCCUCCUCUACGGACAGGAAGUAACUUAACAACAAAAAAUAAACAAAUCGGGGACAAAUAUGACGGAAAAGUGGCAUUAGAUGUGGAUGCCAAAGCGCACCCACCCUUCCUGUGAGGCCCCAAGUGACGCGAGGGAGGCACCACCCAUCGUUAACGGCCGGAAUCACCAACAGGCUGUCUACGACCGGUCCAUCUCCCCCAACAGGUAAUGAUGCUUCUUCACAUUCGUGACCCUAAACGCACCAGCGUGUGGGAAAUUAGUUAAGGAGUCACAGCAGUUGCACCAAUCAAGGUCAGGAAACUGGCUACAGUCGCCACGGAACCAAUACUUCGCGCAGGCUGGAUUUGGUCUACUGGGGAGCUCCGAGGGAUAAGAAAGGACUGUUUCCCUCACUUCUAGGGAUUCCCACGACCAAAUUGCUGGACUUGACGAGGAGCGAGAAAGUACAAAGAUGGUUGUUGUGCUUUGCAGGUGCCAAAGAGUUGCUGUCAGCACAGCUUUUUGUCCCCAGUGACGGUCGCUGGCGAAGGAUCUAAGGCCAAGUGGGCCUGUAUGUCGGCAGCUUGAGCGGGGAUUUUGGAUUUGCUGGACACAACAAUGAACCAAACUCUUAAUUUAAACAUAUUGAAGUCCAUUUUGCUGCAAAGUGCAGAAAAUCUGGGGAUUCGUGAUAAAUUCCGAUUUUAUCAGGACAAUUAUCCCAAGCACACAUCGCGAACUCUGCCAACAUGGCUCAUUUAAAAUUGCCCGCAUAUCAUGUAACCAUCAGCCUGGUCUCCAGAUAAUAAUAUUAUUGAUAAUUGGUUGGCUAUAUUGGACAGAAAAAUUCGAAAGCGUCAAAUUUUCAAUAAGACGGACCUAAAAAACGCAUUACUCGAAGAAUUGGCCAAAAUUAGUCCCCAAGUGACUUAAAAAUUGGUCGACUCAAUCCCAAAAAGACUUAAAAUGAUUGUUUACAAGGAGGCUAGUCAUACAAAAUAUUAUUUUAUCAUUUUUAGUUCAUAAUCUUAAAAAAAUAUAUAAUUUUAAGGGCUGGUUGAAAUAAGUUGUGGCAUUCAUUUCACCUGUUAUUUGAGUCUUAAAAUCAAAAUAAAUAUAAAAAAACAUUUAAAAAUGUAAGAAUUCAUGAAAUAAAAGUUAAAAUACAGAGCUAUAAA